AUUCAAUAAAAUUAUGCAAAA
RNAcentral lists this small RNA (21 nucleotides) under Arabidopsis thaliana (thale cress). RNAcentral's name for it is "ATSL149140". Lineage: Eukaryota; Viridiplantae; Streptophyta; Magnoliopsida; Brassicales; Brassicaceae. The record is from RNAcentral.